CGUAGGGGGCUAGCGUUGUCCGGAUUUAUUGGGCGUAAAGAGCGCGUAGGCGGCCGAGUAAGUCCGACGUGAAAUCUGGAGGCUCAACCUCCAGCGGUCGUUGGAAACUACCCGGCUAGAGUCCGGAAGAGGAGAGUGGAAUUCCUGGUGUAGCGGUGAAAUGCGCAGAUAUCAGGAAGAACACCGAUGGCGAAAGCAGCUCUCUGGGACGGUACUGACGCUGAGGCGCGAAAGCGUGGGGAGCGAACAGGAUUAGAUACCCUGGUAGUCCACGCCGUAAACGAUGGGUGCUAGGUGUGGGCGGUGUCGACUCCGCCCGUGCCGAAGCUAACGCAUUAAGCACCCGCCUGGGAGUACGGCCGCAAGGCUA
This 370-nucleotide ribosomal RNA is filed under the name uncultured organism. RNAcentral's name for it is "bacterial SSU rRNA". It matches the Rfam family "Bacterial small subunit ribosomal RNA", at positions 526 to 896 of the family's 1533-position model. The record is from RNAcentral.